GACGAACGCUGGCGGCGUGCUUAACACAUGCAAGUCGAACGGAAAGGCCCAGCUUGCUGGGUGCUCGAGUGGCGAACGGGUGAGUAACACGUGGGUGAUCUGCCCCUAACUUCGGGAUAAGCUUGGGAAACUGGGUCUAAUACCGGAUAGGACAAUCGUUUAGUGUCGGUUGUGGAAAGUUUUUUCGGUUAGGGAUGAGCCCGCGGCCUAUCAGCUUGUUGGUGGGGUAAUGGCCUACCAAGCCGUCGACGGGUAGCCGGCCUGAGAGGGUGGACGGCCACAUUGGGACUGAGAUACGGCCCAGACUCCUACGGGAGGCAGCAGUGGGGAAUAUUGCACAAUGGGCGCAAGCCUGAUGCAGCGACGCCGCGUGGGGGAUGACGGCCUUCGGGUUGUAAACCUCUUUCGACAGGGACGAAGCUUUGGUGACGGUACCUGUAUAAGAAGCACCGGCUAACUACGUG
RNAcentral lists this ribosomal RNA (464 nucleotides) under uncultured bacterium. Its description in RNAcentral is "partial 16S ribosomal RNA". It matches the Rfam family "Bacterial small subunit ribosomal RNA", at positions 28 to 507 of the family's 1533-position model. The record is from RNAcentral.